This 310-nucleotide ribosomal RNA is filed under the name uncultured bacterium. Its description in RNAcentral is "bacterial SSU rRNA". It matches the Rfam family "Bacterial small subunit ribosomal RNA", at positions 490 to 793 of the family's 1533-position model. The record is from RNAcentral.
GCACCGGCUAACUCCGUGCCAGCAGCCGCGGUAAUACGGAGGGUGCGAGCGUUAAUCGGAAUUACUGGGCGUAAAGCGCAUGCAGGUGGUUUGUUAAGUCAGAUGUGAAAGACCCGGGGCGUCAACCUCGGAAUAGCAUUUGAAACUAGGCAGACUAGAGUACUGUAGAGGGGGGUAGGAAUUUCAGGUGUAGCGGUGAAAUAGCGUAGAGAUCUGAAGGAAUACCGGUGGCGAAGGCGGCCCCCUCGGACAGAUACUGACACUCAGAUGCGAAAGCGUGGGGAGCAAACAGGAUUAGAUACCCUGGUAG